AACGAACGCUGGCGGCAUGCCUAACACAUGCAAGUCGAACGAGACCUUCGGGUCUAGUGGCGCACGGGUGCGUAACGCGUGGGAACCUGCCCUUAGGUUCGGAAUAACUCCCCGCAAGGGGUGCUAAUACCGGAUAAUGUCUUCGGACCAAAGAUUUAUCGCCUCUGGAUGGGCCCGCGUUGGAUUAGCUAGUUGGUAGGGUAAAAGCCUACCAAGGCGACGUUCCAUAGCUGGUGUGAGAGGAUGAUCAGCAACACUGGGACUGAGACACGGCCCAGACUCCUACGGGAGGCAGAAGUGGGGAAUAUUGGACAAUGGGCGAAAGCCUGAUCCAGCAAUGCCGCGUGAGUGAUGAAGGCCUUAGGGUUGUAAAGCUCUUUUACCCGGGAUGAUAAUGACAGUACCGGGAGAAUAAGCUCCGGCUAACUCCGUG
This 433-nucleotide ribosomal RNA is filed under the name uncultured bacterium. Its description in RNAcentral is "partial 16S ribosomal RNA". It matches the Rfam family "Bacterial small subunit ribosomal RNA", at positions 29 to 507 of the family's 1533-position model. The record is from RNAcentral.